CAGUGUCUUUUUGAUACAGAACUCUUGCUUUGGUUUGGCCUAGAGAUAGGUUGGGCCAGAGGUUUAACAAAACACAAUUUAAUUAUUUUUACAGUUAGUCAAAUUUUGAAUUAAUCUUCAAAACUUUCAACAACGGAUCUCUUGGUUCUCGCAUCGAUGAAGAACGCAGCGAAAUGCGAUAAGUAAUAUGAAUUGCAGAUUUUCGUGAAUCAUCGAAUCUUUGAACGCACAUUGCGCCCUCUGGUAUUCCAGAGGGCAUGCCUGUUUGAGCGUCAUUUCUCUCUCAAACCCCCGGGUUUGGUAUUGAGUGAUACUCUUAGUCGGACUAGGCGUUUGCUUGAAAAGUAUUGGCAUGGGUAGUACUAGAUAGUGCUGUCGACCUCUCAAUGUAUUAGGUUUAUCCAACUCGUUGAAUGGUGUGGCGGGAUAUUUCUGGUAUUGUUGGCCCGGCCUUACAACAACCAAACAAGUUUGACCUCAAAUCAGGUAGGAAUACCCGCUGAACUUAAGCAUAU
RNAcentral lists this ribosomal RNA (515 nucleotides) under Meyerozyma guilliermondii. Its description in RNAcentral is "eukaryotic LSU rRNA". The stretch from base 122 to 275 matches the Rfam family "5.8S ribosomal RNA". The record is from RNAcentral. Lineage: Eukaryota; Fungi; Ascomycota; Pichiomycetes; Serinales; Debaryomycetaceae.